GAUGAACGCUGGCGGCGUGCCUAAUACAUGCAAGUCGAGCGAACAGACGAGGAGCUUGCUCCUCUGACGUUAGCGGCGGACGGGUGAGUAACACGUGGAUAACCUACCUAUAAGACUGGGAUAACUUCGGGAAACCGGAGCUAAUACCGGAUAACAUGUUGAACCGCAUGGUUCAACAGUGAAAGACGGUCUUGCUGUCACUUAUAGAUGAAUCCGCGCCGCAUUGGCUAGUUGGUAAGUUAACGGCUUACCAAGGCAACGAUGCGUAGCCGACCUGAGAGGGUGAUCGGCCACACUGGAACUGAGACACGGUCCAGACUCCUACGGGAGGCAGCAGUAGGGAAUCUUCCGCAAUGGGCGAAAGCCUGCCGGAGCAACGCCGCGUGAGUGAUGAAGGUCUUCGGAUCGUAAAACUCUGUUAUUAGGGAAGAACAAAUGUGUAAGUAACUAUGCACGUCUUGACGGUACCUAAUCAGAAAGCCACGGCUAACUACGUG
RNAcentral lists this ribosomal RNA (497 nucleotides) under uncultured bacterium. RNAcentral describes it as "partial 16S ribosomal RNA". It matches the Rfam family "Bacterial small subunit ribosomal RNA", at positions 28 to 507 of the family's 1533-position model. The record is from RNAcentral.